GAUGAACGCUGGCGGCGUGCCUAAUACAUGCAAGUCGAGCGAACGGACGAGAAGCUUGCUUCUCUGAUGUUAGCGGCGGACGGGUGAGUAACACGUGGAUAACCUACCUAUAAGACUCGGAUAACUUCUGGAAACCGGAGCUAAUACCGGAUAAUCUUUUGAACCGCAUGGUUCUACAGUGAAAGACGGUCUUGCUGUCACUUAUAGAUGGAUCCGCGCUGCAUUAGCUAGUUGGUAAGGUAACGGAUUACCAAGGCAACGAUGCAUAGCCGACCUGAGAGGGUGAUCGGCCACACUGGAACUGAGACACGGUCCAGACUCCUAAGGGAGGCAGCAGUAGGGAAUCUUGCGCAAUGGGCGAAAGCCUGACGGAGCAACGCCGCGUGAGUGAUGAAGGUCUUCGGAUCGUAAAACUCUGUUAUUAGGGAAGAACAUAUAUGUAAGUAACUGCGCACAGCUUGACGGUACCUAAUCAGAAAGCCACGGCUAACUAAGUG
This 497-nucleotide ribosomal RNA is filed under the name uncultured bacterium. RNAcentral describes it as "partial 16S ribosomal RNA". It matches the Rfam family "Bacterial small subunit ribosomal RNA", at positions 28 to 507 of the family's 1533-position model. The record is from RNAcentral.